Molecule: ribosomal RNA, 439 nt
Filed under: uncultured bacterium
Lineage: Bacteria
Description: partial 16S ribosomal RNA
Rfam family: Bacterial small subunit ribosomal RNA
Source: RNAcentral
CCUACGGGGGGCAGCAGUGGGGAAUAUUGCACAAUGGGCGAAAGCCUGAUGCAGCAACGCCGCGUGAGCGAUGAAGGCCUUCGGGUCGUAAAGCUCUGUCCUCAAGGAAGAUAAUGACGGUACUUGAGGAGGAAGCCCCGGCUAACUACGUGCCAGCAGCCGCGGUAAUACGUAGGGGGCUCGCGUUAUCCGGAAUUACUGGGCGUAAGGGGUGCGUAGGUGGUUUCUUAAGUCAGAGGUGAAAGGCUACGGCUCAACCGUAGUAAGCCUUUGAAAAUGGGAAACUUGAGUGCAGGAGAGGAGAGUGGAAUUCCUAGUGUAGCGGUGAAAUGCGUAGAUAUUAGGAAGAACACCAGUGGCGAAGGCGGCUUUCUGGACUGAAACUGACGCUGAGGCACGAAAGCGUGGGGAGUGAACAGGAUUAGAUACCCUAGUAGUC